UUUGUCCUCCCCUCUAGCUUUCUCUGCUCAAUUAUCUUCUCCGCUGGGUCUCACAGUGGUUCAAGUUGUGAGUCCAAAUGCGACAAAGAAAGAGAAAGUUUGUACGCGAUUUGAAUGAGACAAAUUCACUCGCUACCAACUCAUGCUACAAAGGAAUGGUCGUAAUUUUUGCUUGGGAUUCAAUUGAGGUUAGAGGUGCUUUCUCAAGGAAAUGCGAUUUUGGAGCUUUGGACUAGGCCAAAUUAGGU
Molecule: non-coding RNA, 248 nt
Organism: Nicotiana tabacum (common tobacco)
Lineage: Eukaryota; Viridiplantae; Streptophyta; Magnoliopsida; Solanales; Solanaceae
Source: RefSeq, a predicted model, not a curated record